Molecule: unclassified non-coding RNA, 436 nt
Filed under: Hevea brasiliensis (rubber tree)
Lineage: Eukaryota; Viridiplantae; Streptophyta; Magnoliopsida; Malpighiales; Euphorbiaceae
Source: RNAcentral
AAAGACAACUUCCAAUUCCAUUUUGUAUCAUUUUACUGAUUUUCUCUCAUGUAAUCCCACCUUUGUGAAGGGUUUGACAAAGGGAUGAACUCAGAAUUAAAAAGUUAAAAAAACUAGGGACUUAUUGGUUCAAAGUUUUUGAAUGAAGAUAAGGAUUGAUAUUCAAUAAUGCUGUGUGCCUAUCCAUCCGUCCUUUUUUUUUGUCAUGUCUGUCAUGUAUUCUAGUCGUCUGUGUCCAUAUGGCUACCAUUUCUCCCAAAGUUACUUAAGUAUCAAAACUUGAAUCAAGUUGAAACUCAUAAAGUGGUCAAAUUGGUCUUGAAAGCCCAAAGCACAACACUUGACAAUGCAUUCAAACCAAAAGUAGUGAAGUAUUCCCUAUUUCAACGAUUUUUAGCUAAAUUCAUAAGAUGUUCAUAUAACAGGCAUACACUGG